UGAAGACUUGUGUUUAUGGUUUCUUUUAGCUUUACUUGAGUCGAGUAAGUCGUUGAUGUGUGGUGGCUUCUAUCUCCAUGGAGAAAUCCCUGUUGUUGCGGUGGUGGGUAUCUUAAUGGGUCCUUGAGUCAGCUUUCGCGGUGCUAUCGAUCCUCCAAGCUAUACAAAAUUGAGAGGCUGCAAGCUCUCCCACCAUCACCUCUAGAUGUUGCCAUCAAUAGCUAUACUCUUUUAGACUCUAAGGUCCAGCAGAUUGUUAGGUACAUAGCUCCAGAAGGUGUUUUGGAAGUGUGCAGGUUCUCUUAUCACCAUGGAUGCUUCCAUUUUCCCAGUUUCCGAACCAACUCCAGCUCUAAGAGCUCCGAAG
Molecule: unclassified non-coding RNA, 367 nt
Filed under: Hevea brasiliensis (rubber tree)
Lineage: Eukaryota; Viridiplantae; Streptophyta; Magnoliopsida; Malpighiales; Euphorbiaceae
Source: RNAcentral